This 497-nucleotide ribosomal RNA is filed under the name uncultured bacterium. RNAcentral's name for it is "partial 16S ribosomal RNA". It matches the Rfam family "Bacterial small subunit ribosomal RNA", at positions 28 to 507 of the family's 1533-position model. The record is from RNAcentral.
GAUGAACGCUGGCGGCGUGCCUAAUACAUGCAAGUCGAGCGAACAGACGAGGAGCUUGCUUCUCUGAUGUUAGCGGCGGACGGGUGAGUAACACGUGGAUAACCUACCUAUAAGACUGGGAUAACUUCGGGAAACCGGAGCUAAUACCGGAUAAUAUUUUGAACCGCAUGGUUCAAUAGUGAAAGACGGUUUUGCUGUCACUUAUAGAUGGAUCCGCGCUGCAUUAGCUAGUUGGUAAGGUAACGGCUUACCAAGGCAACGAUGCAUAGCCGACCUGAGAGGGUGAUCGGCCACACUGGAACUGAGACACGGUCCAGACUCCUACGGGAGGCAGCAGUAGGGAAUCUUCCGCAAUGGGCGAAAGCCUGACGGAGCAACGCCGCGUGAGUGAUGAAGGUCUUCGGAUCGUAAAACUCUGUUAUUAGGGAAGAACAAAUGUGUAAGUAACUAUGCACAUCUUGACGGUACCUAAUCAGAAAGCCACGGCUAACUACGUG